GCACACUCAAAAGAUAUGUUUGAAAAUUCUGCCUCAGAAAUAAAUAAAAUAAAAUUUCUGAGGCAGUUUGUUACAACCGUUUCAAAGUUUCCAAUAAAAUUCACCACUCUUGAAAUGCAAAGUCUGAAAAAUGAAACAAGAGUGCCAUUGGAAUUCUGGUUGCCAGCUCUGAUCUCUACAGGAGUUAUUCCAGAGUGUAACAAAAGCAGCAACAGAAAUAACCUUUGGCAUUAGAGCACCAUCCUGCAUUAAUUGGUCCUGGCAACAGAGCUUUGCUUUUGAACCCCUCUGAUAAUGAAACCUUGCCAGAACUGUGAGAUUAUAAUGUUGAUUUUCUUAAGAAGUUGUGAGUCCUUAACCCAGCAUCUCCAGGUGAGCCCCUGCAAUAGGAGAGUCCUGUUCCUGCCGUCAGUGGAGAGGAGGGAUCAGGAAGAAAAGUGACAGAUGCCCACCUGAACAGGGCACAAGAGGCUGAGCAAGUUCCAGGUUGCCCCAGAUCUCCCAAAGGGAAAAAUCCAUGCCAGGAAAAAAAGUCCAAAUGUGUGUUCAAAUCAAAAGGGGAAAAAAGGCUUUUUUCCUCUUUAGACGACAGAUACAGCUUUACUUUAUGGCAAUUGGACAGACAGAGUUGCUUCUGUUCAGCACAGCCCUGCUCUUCUCAGGAGCCCACGAGACACGAGCAUGGACUGUCCUCCUGGGCCCCUCCUGCCGUGCCUGUGUCCCAGUGCUGUGGGCAGCAGCCAGGGAGCUGGAGACACGAGUGUGCAGCCAGAAGGACAGCCUGGCCAGGGGUGCUGCAGUGCCCAAUCCAAGGCUCCCGGGGUGCUGUGGCGGUGCCGAGUGGGAAAACCCUCCUGGCGGUGCUGGACAAGAUCCCCCGGCAGCAAAGGCAGCUGCUCCAUCUCCAGGGCACUCUCUCAAUCCGGGGUUGCAGGAGCAGGAUAAGGAAUAUCCCUGCACCUUGUUCCUUGUGGCAAGAGGCUCCAUCCCUGUAGGAGCCUCCGUGAGCCCUGCUGGCUGGAGGCCGGAGGAAUCCCGGGGGACAGGUCUCCCUUGUCCCCUGGAGCCGUGGGGAUCAGCAGACCCCGCUCAUCCCUGAGGAUGCUCAUGGCCAGGAGGAGACUGAGAGCAACAAGCCUGUUCCAGUGAGGCAUUCCCAGGAUAGAGUGGCACAGCAGCAAGUGUUGGUGCCCAAUCCAUGGCUCCCAGGAUGCUGCCAUAUGGGAAGACCUUCCACGCGGUGCUGGAGAAGAUGCUGCAGUGGCAAAGAGAAGUGUUCCCAUCUCCAAACUCUCUCCUGAUCCAGCUGUGGAGGAGCAGGAUAAGGAAUAUCUCCACACCUCCAUUACUCCUGGCAAGAGCCUCCAUCCUUCCCAGAGCCUCCAUGGAUAAGAGUCCCUGCUCCCGUGGAGCAGUGGGUAUCUGCAGACCCCGCUAAUCCAGUCCCAGUGGGAGCCCAGCCCAUUCCAUUCCUGGAUUCCCAG
This is a long non-coding RNA of Myiozetetes cayanensis, 1484 nucleotides long. RefSeq lists it as uncharacterized. The transcript is spliced from 4 exons. Lineage: Eukaryota; Metazoa; Chordata; Aves; Passeriformes; Tyrannidae. The record is from RefSeq and is a predicted model, not a curated record.